Sinocyclocheilus rhinocerous is the source of this 266-nucleotide long non-coding RNA. RefSeq lists it as uncharacterized. The transcript has 3 exons. NCBI's taxonomy places the organism in Eukaryota, Metazoa, Chordata, Actinopteri, Cypriniformes, Cyprinidae. The record is from RefSeq and is a predicted model, not a curated record.
CAGAGGAAGGACAGAGACCUCUUUCCACAAACAAACACUCCGCUUUAGCCGUCCAAAAACAGCCGAGCAAACAGAAAUGCUAAUGAAUCAGUCAGCUUCCAGUACGAGCCGGCGAUUCUACAGCUGCCGGCAGGUAUUGCUGCAUCACUGAAUAUAUCCGUGCUUCCCACAAUCCUCUGGUCCAGUCGCUCUUCAGCGUCACUAAAUGGCACAGUGUGACGGGAAGAAGCUGAAGCGCUCCGAGCUGCCGUGAGGUACAGUACCAC